Molecule: ribosomal RNA, 784 nt
Filed under: uncultured bacterium
Lineage: Bacteria
Description: bacterial SSU rRNA
Rfam family: Bacterial small subunit ribosomal RNA
Source: RNAcentral
UCGAGCGAGUCUGCCUUGAAGAUCGGAGUGCUUGCACUCUGUGAAACAAGAUACAGGCUAGCGGCGGACGGGUGAGUAACACGUGGGUAACCUGCCCAAGAGAUCGGGAUAACACCUGGAAACAGAUGCUAAUACCGGAUAACAACAGAUGAUGCCUAUCAACUGUUUAAAAGAUGGUUCUGCUAUCACUCUUGGAUGGACCUGCGGUGCAUUAGCUAGUUGGUAGGGUAACGGCCUACCAAGGCGAUGAUGCAUAGCCGAGUUGAGAGACUGAUCGGCCACAUUGGGACUGAGACACGGCCCAAACUCCUACGGGAGGCAGCAGUAGGGAAUCUUCCACAAUGGACGCAAGUCUGAUGGAGCAACGCCGCGUGAGUGAAGAAGGGUUUCGGCUCGUAAAGCUCUGUUGUUGGUGAAGAAGGACAGGGGUAGUAACUGACCUUUGUUUGACGGUAAUCAAUUAGAAAGUCACGGCUAACUACGUGCCAGCAGCCGCGGUAAUACGUAGGUGGCAAGCGUUGUCCGGAUUUAUUGGGCGUAAAGCGAGUGCAGGCGGUUCGAUAAGUCUGAUGUGAAAGCCUUCGGCUCAACCGGAGAAUUGCAUCAGAAACUGUCGAGCUUGAGUACAGAAGAGGAGAGUGGAACUCCAUGUGUAGCGGUGAAAUGCGUAGAUAUAUGGAAGAACACCGGUGGCGAAGGCGGCUCUCUGGUCUGUUACUGACGCUGAGGCUCGAAAGCAUGGGUAGCGAACAGGAUUAGAUACCCUGGUAGUCCAUGCCGUAAA